UCUAUACAUGACUCUGCGCAUAUCAAUAAGCGGAGGAAAAGAAACUAACAAGGAUUCCCCUAGUAACGGCGAGUGAAGCGGGAAGAGCUCAAAUUUGAAAUCUUAAAGGUUUUCUCCUUGACGAAUUGUAGUUUAAAGAAGUGUUUUCUGCUGAAGUUUUGGUAAAAGUUCUUUGGAAUAGGACAUCAUAGAGGGUGAGAAUCCCGUAUUUGACCAUUACUUUUCAGCUUUGUGAUACACUUUCAAAGAGUCGGAUUGUUUGGGAAUGCAGUCCAAAAUGGGUGGUAAAUUUCAUCUAAAGCUAAAUAUUGGCGAGAGACCGAUAGCGAACAAGUACCGUGAGGGAAAGAUGAAAAGAACUUUGAAAAGAGAGUUAAACAGUACGUGAAAUUGUCAAAAGGGAAGCGUUUGACACCAGUGUUGUCUUUUCUGAAAAUCAAUUAAAGAACUGUUUAUGCUAAGUUGUUUAGACUUUAUCAGCUAUCUGCUUAGUUUUGAGCUUUUCUUUAAUGCACUUUUCAGUUAACAAGUCAACAUCAAUUUCUUUUGCUGUAAAAGAGCUUGAGGAAGGUGGCUUGAGAUUCGUCCUUAAGUGUUUAUAGCCUCUUGCCUAUGCAGUCGGAGAGAUUGAGGUCUGCAGCGUAGAUCCUUCGGGGCUAAAUGCAUUUGUGCUAAGUUAUAGCAUUUUAUAGACAACUUGUUGACUAUGAUUUGUCUUGUAGCUUACUCGCUUAUGUUAUUUUACCUACGCUUAGGAUGUUGACAGCAGUAUAGACUGU
Molecule: ribosomal RNA, 779 nt
Filed under: uncultured Neocallimastigales
Lineage: Eukaryota; Fungi; Neocallimastigomycota; Neocallimastigomycetes; Neocallimastigales
Description: partial large subunit ribosomal RNA
Rfam family: Eukaryotic large subunit ribosomal RNA
Source: RNAcentral